AGUGUGUGCAUUCACAUCAAAGGCCAACAUGAAGACUUGCACAGUCUUUGUUCUAGUGGCUUUUGUCAUCUUGGGGAUGGAGAUGGCUUGCGCACAGAAACAUCCUCACAAAGGGGGAAACAGACCUGGACACUGCCCCAAUGUGCCCAAGGGAACCGUUGGGAUUUGUGCUGAAAUGUGCUCAGGAGAUGACUCAUGUCCCAGGGGAAUGAAAUGUUGCAGCAAUGGAUGUGGCCAUGUAUGCAAAGGUGCUAUCCAUGUGAGUGCUGUUGAUGACCAUGUGGAGGAAGAAUGGGGGGUGUAAGCCUGCUUGGAGACCGGUCCCAGAAGAUUGCUCAUGAAUGCAUCCAUCAGUGCAUUUUCCACACACCAUUCUUGGCAAGUGUUUAUCCCUUGACGUGCAGUCCCAGAAGAUGAAGAUCUAAAGUGAUGGAGUGGCCGAUUCUGAAGAGCUUGUGUCCAAAAUAAAUUUUAUCUGUUGCAUUAU
Long non-coding RNA from Myotis davidii, 487 nucleotides. RefSeq lists it as uncharacterized. The transcript is spliced from 3 exons. Lineage: Eukaryota; Metazoa; Chordata; Mammalia; Chiroptera; Vespertilionidae. The record is from RefSeq and is a predicted model, not a curated record.